GUCUACGGCAAUGCCAUCCUGAACAAGCCUAAUCCUAUCUGAUCUUGGAAGCUAAGCAGGGUCGGGCCUGGUUAGUACUUGGAUGGGAGACUGCCUAGGAAGACCAGGUACUAUAGGUG
RNAcentral lists this ribosomal RNA (119 nucleotides) under Pteropus alecto (black flying fox). The record is from RNAcentral. Lineage: Eukaryota; Metazoa; Chordata; Mammalia; Chiroptera; Pteropodidae.